GUCGCAUGCUCCCGGCCGCCAUGGCGGCCGCGGGAAUUCGAUUAGAGUUUGAUCAUGGCUCAGAUUGAACGCUGGCGGCAGGCCUAACACAUGCAAGUCGAGCGGUAGAGAGGUGCUGCACCUCUUGAGAGCGGCGGACGGGUGAGUAAUGCCUAGGAAUCUGCCUGGUAGUGGGGGAUAACGCUCGGAAACGGACGCUAAUACCGCAUACGUCCUACGGGAGAAAGCAGGGGACCUUCGGGCCUUGCGCUAUCAGAUGAGCCUAGGUCGGAUUAGCUAGUUGGUGGGGUAAUGGCUCACCAAGGCGACGAUCCGUAACUGGUCUGAGAGGAUGAUCAGUCACACUGGAACUGAGACACGGUCCAGACUCCUACGGGAGGCAGCAGUGGGGAAUAUUGGACAAUGGGCGAAAGCCUGAUCCAGCCAUGCCGCGUGUGUGAAGAAGGUCUUCGGAUUGUAAAGCACUUUAAGUUGGGAGGAAGGGCAUUAACCUAAUACGUUAGUGUUUUGACGUUACCGACAGAAUAAGCGCCGGCUAACUCUGUGCCAGCAGCCGCGGUAAUACGAAUCACUAGUGAAUUCGCGGCCGCCUGCAGGUCGACCAUAUGGGAGAGCUCCCAAC
This 622-nucleotide ribosomal RNA is filed under the name uncultured Gammaproteobacteria bacterium. Its description in RNAcentral is "partial 16S ribosomal RNA". It matches the Rfam family "Bacterial small subunit ribosomal RNA", at positions 1 to 600 of the family's 1533-position model. The record is from RNAcentral. Lineage: Bacteria; Pseudomonadati; Pseudomonadota; Gammaproteobacteria.